This 107-nucleotide transfer RNA is filed under the name Microcaldota archaeon. Its description in RNAcentral is "tRNA-Val". It matches the Rfam family "tRNA". Rfam says of the family: Transfer RNA (tRNA) molecules are approximately 80 nucleotides in length. Their secondary structure includes four short double-helical elements and three loops (D, anti-codon, and T loops). Further hydrogen bonds mediate the characteristic L-shaped molecular structure. tRNAs have two regions of fundamental functional importance: the anti-codon, which is responsible for specific mRNA codon recognition, and the 3' end, to which the tRNAs corresponding amino acid is attached (by aminoacyl-tRNA synthetases). tRNAs cope with the degeneracy of the genetic code in two manners: having more than one tRNA (with a specific anti-codon) for a particular amino acid; and 'wobble' base-pairing, i.e. permitting non-standard base-pairing at the 3rd anti-codon position. The record is from RNAcentral. Lineage: Archaea; Nanobdellati; Microcaldota.
GGGCCCGUAGUCGAACUGUGUUUUCCGGGAAAUCCUGAACAUACGACAGCGGUUAAGACGUUCGCCUCACACGCGAAAGAUUCGCGGUUCAAUUCCGCGCGGGCCCA